GAACGCUGGCGGAAUGCUUUACACAUGCAAGUCGAACGGCAGCACGGGGGCAACCCUGGUGGCGAGUGGCGAACGGGUGAGUAAUAUAUCGGAACGUGCCCAGUCGUGGGGGAUAACGUAGCGAAAGUUACGCUAAUACCGCAUACGAUCUACGGAUGAAAGCGGGGGAUCGCAAGACCUCGCGCGAUUGGAGCGGCCGAUAUCAGAUUAGGUAGUUGGUGGGGUAAAGGCUCACCAAGCCAACGAUCUGUAGCUGGUCUGAGAGGACGACCAGCCACACUGGGACUGAGACACGGCCCAGACUCCUACGGGAGGCAGCAGUGGGGAAUUUUGGACAAUGGACGCAAGUCUGAUCCAGCCAUUCCGCGUGCAGGACGAAGGCCUUCGGGUUGUAAACUGCUUUUGUACGGAACGAAAAAGCUCUUACUAAUACUAGGAGUCCAUGACGGUACCGUAAGAAUAAGCACCGGCUAACUACGUGCCAGCAGCCGCGGUAAUACGUAGGGUGCGAGCGUUAAUCGGAAUUACUGGGCGUAAAGCGUGCGCAGGCGGUUAUAUAAGACAGAUGUGAAAUCCCCGGGCUCAACCUGGGAACUGCAUUUGUGACUGUAUAGCUAGAGUGCGGCAGAGGGGGAUGGAAUUCCGCGUGUAGCAGUGAAAUGCGUAGAUAUGCGGAGGAACACCGAUGGCGAAGGCAAUCCCC
This 703-nucleotide ribosomal RNA is filed under the name Pseudomonadota bacterium. RNAcentral describes it as "bacterial SSU rRNA". It matches the Rfam family "Bacterial small subunit ribosomal RNA", at positions 31 to 729 of the family's 1533-position model. The record is from RNAcentral. Lineage: Bacteria; Pseudomonadati; Pseudomonadota.